RNAcentral lists this transfer RNA (74 nucleotides) under Phlebia radiata. RNAcentral's name for it is "tRNA-Gln(CAA)". It matches the Rfam family "tRNA". Rfam says of the family: Transfer RNA (tRNA) molecules are approximately 80 nucleotides in length. Lineage: Eukaryota; Fungi; Basidiomycota; Agaricomycetes; Polyporales; Meruliaceae. The record is from RNAcentral.
UGAGUUGUAGUUUAAUUUGGAAUAACAUCAUUUUUUGGUGGUGAAAGAUAUCAGUUCGAAUCUGGUCAACUCAG